AGCAUUUUGCGAGUCGCAUUCCAAGUUACAGUGGUAUAUAGGUAUACAAGGAAACAAUACCAAAGGUAUUAGAUGUAAAAAAUAUAUAUUAGGGCAUUACCUUACAACUUCCUAAAGUGGAGAUGAGUUUGUUCUUGUCGAUCACACGGUCUCAAGUAUCAUUGUGCAGGUAAUCCAUUUCCCGCCCAGGAGCCUAAAGUAUAAUUGAGUGCUAGUCAAAGUUUAGAACUCAGAAUUAAAAAAGGUUUCUUUCUCUCGAAAAGGCGUCGCCAUUGUUUAAUAUCUAUUUCAUUUUGUUUAUUUUUUUACGAUAAUCUACACACUUCUACCAUUCUUACUAUAUAUAUUAUAAAUAUUAUAAAUGCGAUAAUAACUCAUAUCACUCGUCUUGCUUAUGGAAAAAAUCCAGAAAGCGUUUCUGCGAUUAUUAUAUAAAAAGGUUUACGGGUAUUACCCAUAUUUGUACCCAUCAAAGUUCCUGCUUGGCGUUUUAGGGUUUAAUUCCUUAGAGGUGAGACGUAACUACGGGCUAUUGACUACUGUAUGUAACGUCUUACGGUGGAACUCAGACUGGCCUGAACUGGUUGCACAGCUCGUACGCCUGUUCGUUCCAUCUGUGGCUAAGGCCCAAUUUAAUUUCCGACCACGAAUUCGUCACCUAUUAGCGGUGCCUAAAACACGCACUAUGUCCCAUGGCAAAUCACCACUUGUCCGCGCUCUACAAUAUAUCGCGCUCCUCGCAUCAGCACCGGAAUGUAAUGUAUUUGCAAGUAGUAGGAUGGAUAUGUGUAAAGAAUGUAUGAAGUUCUGUGAGACGAUGGAUAAGCGAGAAUCUUCUGUUUUUUAUUUGUUUUUCUUUCUUACAUUUGUUCUCUUUUUCCUUUCUAGACUGUAUCAUGUACCUAGUUUGUAUACAUACUGUCUAUUAAAAAUUUCACAGUGUAUUAGUUUGCUGUAAUGCUGUGUAAAUUUUUUGAAUCAAUAAAAUAAAAAAUAAACUCUGUGUAAAAUUUGGUAUGGAGAUUGUUUCAGAGCCGGGGAAGGACAUCAGGAUAGUUUCUAUGAUUCAUCAUCAUUCUACGUCUACGCGUACGAAGUCGAGGGCAGAAACUAGUACUUAAAUAAAUGUAAUAUAAAUAAUAUUACUUAAUUAAGAGGGUAACAUAAAUAAUAACUAGACUUCGAUAGGUACCUAAAACAGUUUUAUAUUAAAUCAGGUUUCGUUGGAGGAAGAGUCAGAAUUUUGAGCAACGAUGCUAUGCGAGAAGUCGCGCAAAACAACGCGAGUUGCGUAUCCUGUACUGGAGGCCAAGACCCACGGUGCUGCUGAUUUACAAAUGAAAAUUUGUGUAAUGAUAUGCAAACGAAACCAGAGGAAUUAAGUGUUCAGCGGAACUGCUCCUGAAAAAAAGAUUGCUGUCAUAAGGUAUGUUUAUUAAUAAAUAUGUACAUAUUGUGGUACCUAAUAGGUAAUAUUACCGUGCUACAUCACUCGUUCUCUAAUCUCAAAGUCAAAUGGACCCCAUUCCAUGUAGGCAGACAUUCAUAAUAACGUUUAUAUAAAUCAAAUGUUUGCGUUCUUAACAUUUCAUAACAUACCAACGAAAUUAAACAUUAUUAUUAAACAGAAACGUUUCACAUAAGGCAGUAAUUUUUCUCUUAAGUAACUUUUUAAUUUAUUAGAUACUUUCUUAUUAAGUACUUUAUUGUGCAACCAGGACUCUUAGCGUCUAAGACGAAGAGGCAGUCUUAGAAUUCGGUUCAACUAUAUGUACUCGUAUGGCGCAAACACAUACAAUAUGUAUUUUUAUUUUAUAUUUCAUUGAAAUAAACGAUCCGUUUAAUUAUAUUAUGUACUCAUAGAGGUAGACAUUAAUAUUUCAUACAAAAAAAAGUUGACCAGCUAAAAAUUGGGCCCGAAAAUGCGAAAAGUUAUUUUUUUAAAUUAUAAAUCAAGAUGACAGAAUAUCCAAAAGUUGCCACGGUUUUAAGAUGAUUGUUAUACAAUCAAGAAAAACAAAUAUAAUGUGAUGUACUUGUGUACAUAUUGUAAUAAAUAAAUGAUCGUGGAGAUUUACUGAAAGUCUUUCCCGAGGGCCUCCAUGACGACACGUUGUGCCCUCCCAUUGCGACCAGGCCCACAUAUAUCGACAAGGAGCCGUUUUGCCUUGUGGUACGUAAUUACUGAUAUUUAAAUGAAUUUGGACUUAUUGUGUUUUACGCUGUUGAAUUUCGGUAAAGGUCAAUGUCGGGAAGUCCGUCUAUAAGAGAAGACAGUCUGACAAGCUCUUUCGUCGCUUUUAACUCCGUUUAAUUUUACACUCACUGAAGCGAUCAGGUCUAGCGAGUAGCAGUCUAAAAUGAUCGCCGACUGCGUUGAGUUUUGCGCAUGCCACAGACUGUAUUUUUCAGUUUAUAAUUUAUAUUAUACUACUUACUAUGUCGACUUACUACUGUGACUACUUAAUAAAAAAAAACACAAAUCAAAAUAUUUAAUAAUAUGAUUUGAUUUGUUCCCAAAGUUGUAGGUAUUAUGACUGUGUGUUACUUUAUUUUAUGUAGGUACGUAUUGUAUGUGUUUGUGUACAUACUAAAUAUAUGGUGUACCGAACUAUUUGGCUACUUUGACUGCUACGAAGUAUUUGACGCUGACUGUACAUGGUUGAAAAUAAAUAAUUUGAAAUUAAAAUAUUUAGAGAGCACUAAAUUUGAAACGCUUGUUUCAUGUAUAAAAAAUAAAUUAAGUAGGGUGACUGCUAUAGUUAUUGGCCACUACAUGGGAAUUGGCCACUCAUAACAAUAAGACUUCAAUUGGCUUCUUUCUUCCUGAUUUGUUAGGAGUGGCCAAUAACUAUAGCAGUCACCCUAGGUAAGCGUAACCAAAACUAAAACGCACAAUUUCUUUUUCAGAGAUGCGGGUAUCUACUUUCAAUAUGUGUGACCAGCCUAUAAGAUCGAACCUGAAGCAAACAAGACAAUUUACCCUUAAAUGUAUUAGUAUAAGUUAGCCUAUUUAUUAUUAAUUCUCCAUAUUGCCUAAUAAAACAACUAUAUUGUGCAUUAGAAGACAGUAUCAUCCGGACAUGGUAUAUCAGAAUGUUACGUUCUGUGGAUAUACUCUGUUCUAAUGCACAGACAUUUUUAUUGUGUGAUUAAUUCAUGGGAUCCAUAAAUUGAGACUAUGACGAUUGCCCAUGGUAUGUGUUUAGUAGUAGUAGUAAGAAAAGCAUUCCUUUUUACCAAUUUGAGAAAGGCCCUUUUUUCUUGUAUCGUCGUCAUAUAUAUUAUGUCAACCUUAAACUUGUAUGUAGUAUUAAAGUCACUUCUAGGGUACUUUUGAAGGUUUAAUUCUACUUACUUACAUAUAUGACAUGACAAUAGGGUUAGUGGAAGAAAUAAGAUGUAGACGAGUGCAUGCUAUAAUAUCGUAAAUUAAGUAUCUAUAAGUAUUACUCCUUCAGUAUUAGACCUAUAUAGAUGAGCCUUUCAGCUUUUUUUGGACAACAUUUGUAACACUUGAUGAGGUUAUUGUACAUUUUUUUUUCCUUUGCUACUAUCUACUCAGGUUGCAUUUUUUGUGAUCCAAGCUUGCCUUUUGGAGUGAAAUAUAAUGGCGAAAAGAUGAAUGUAAAUAUUGUUGUCCAUUGAUAACGUUCUCUGCAGAUUUUGACGGCGAAAUUAAUAACACUGUCAAUAACUAUAUACUUAUUUUAUUAUUCAUAUUUUAAAGGGACUCUUAUUAUAAAAGUAUGAUACAAAUUUCGGAUCGGCAAUCCAGAGGUGUGGGUUCGAGUCCCACGAUGGCCACAGUUCAUCAUCACAGUUAAUUUAUUACAUUGUGAUUGACAUCUGUAUAUACAAUUCAUAAAGUAUACCAUUUUAAUAUUUGCUGCCCACCUUAUUAAAUUUUAGAGAAGAAGAAACAAUAUACGAGAAGUUCUGUACUAAGUGCAUAAAUACCAACAUAAUGACAAUAUUGUGUAAUAAUUCUGUCUAUUUUUGUUAAGUACCUACGUUAUAAUGUAUAGUUUUUAUUUUAUUUAUUGAUUAAUUAGUCACCUUAGGAUGUCGUUAUAGGUACUUGCUAAGCUAUAGGUUUAGCUUGUAAGACUCCAGUAACAUCAUUAUUAAGAUGUAACUCGUUUGUAACUACAGGAUCUACAAUAGCGUCUUAUAAGGGUGAAGUAUUAUUUUCUUUUCCGAUAUAAGGAGCUCUAAAAGACUUUUUUACGCCUGUUUAGACCCAGAAAACGCAAAUAGCAGCUGCUUAUUGCGUGUAUGGAUGUUAAGGUUGUACGAUUCACUUUAAGCUGUAACACUAACUUCUUACAAGUAGCAUGCAUUAUAGCGACCAAUACAGCUACCUGUGGCUCGGUGAACCUCUUAAACACUUUUAUGUCAACUGUACCUGUAGGCUAAGACUACGAGUAUGUAGCUAUUCUAGAGCUGUUUUAUGUCUAUAUUAGGUUCGGCUUUUCGUCCGUCUGUCUCUCUCUCUCUCUCUCUCUAUCUCUAUCUCUAUCUCUCUCUCUCUCAGUUACCACUUCACGCUUAAACCGCUUUAGAUAAAAUUUGUUCUGGAGGUAGUUUGAGGCCCGAGGAAGAUAAUAGGAUAGUUUUUAUCAAUCAUCAUCAUCAUCCCACGCAGACGAAGUCGCAGGUAGAAGAUGGUUAACUAUAAUAAUGGAUUGGAUAACAAUGCGUACGGUUACAGAUAACUUCUUGAUACGUUUUUGGUGACCGUAAAAAAUAAUAGCAGCAUGCAGAGGCCUUGGAAAUUGCACUUAAAAUGUAAUACUUAUAUAAGCUGUAUAUAAUGUAAAUACGAGUAUAUCGAUCACUUAUAGACAGGAAGGAAACUUAUCGUAAGGAAAUGUGAUGCAGUCGGCGAGACAAUACAAAGUCGUAUAGAUAAUAAUAUAAUAUAUUAAUGUAAAAGGCUGAAAGAGAAUAGGUAAACUGAUUAUGUAAUUAAUGAUUCGACCAAGAAGAAAAUGAAUGACUGAGAUGUCUAGUAACCGAAGUCUGAAAGCGAUACUAAGGGCCAGUCGCACCAACCGCAAUUAGCGGACUGAUUAACGUCACUCACCGGUGACAUGAAAUUUCCUAAAAAAUAAAUUUAAGUAGUGAAAGCUUUAACUGUGACAAAUGGUCUGUGUACGUGAGAUAUGCAAACGGAUGACAAACUGCUAUAAUAGUACGGGCACGUCUGAAAAUAUCGAUACAAAAAAAGUGCCAAAAAUAUGUGUACACGACUUUAUUGCCCAUAUAUUAAGGUGGUGUAUAUUUCAGACGUACGUUACUGUACGUCCUAUUAUUAGAGUGGAACCAAGGGCAAGAUUUUUAAACUCUUUUUUUAUUUAGUUUACAUAGUAGCGUUACAAAAUCGUUUAUAUAAGGUAUAAUUAUGGUAAAAGGGAAUGCACUAUUAUAUUUCUAAAGUCGUCGUUACUAGUCGUGCCCACAACGUCGUGGCGCUGUGGGCACGACGAGCGACGACGCCUUUAGGUGUUAUUGGCGUUCAAAGGGUUAAAAAAAUCAGUAUGAAGUGCCUACCGCGAAAAUCAAAAUUUUGCUAUCCGUCUAUCACUCUUGCAUAAACGAGCGAUACAAUGGCGGAUAGAGAAAUUUCGAUUUUCGCGGUAGACCUCGAUGGUCUACCGUGAAAAUCGUUUUUGGUGACCAUAAACAACGCAUUAAUCAACAAAGCCGUAAUAUUAACCCCCUUAGUACAUUAACCUUACGUCUAUGGACGGUAGAGAACUCCAUACUUACGUCCGAAGUACGUAUCGGGUCUACGUUGGUCAAUUUAGAUAUACUAAUAGUCGCGUGUCACCAUGAGGUAUACGGCCGUUUCCAAUUAGCGUUUUAUACAAGCGUACGUGUACGCGCGUGUAAGCUGGUAUAGACUAAAUGUAGGUAAAAGUAACGCGCGCGUAUGCCCGUAAAAAGCAAAUGCAGGGAAAUGUAACGCGCGUAUAAGCUCGUAUCGCUGUAAGGGCCGUAUACGCUAGGCUGAAACCGCUCAUAACGAAGCGGCCGAAGUGCACAAAAAAAUCGAAACAUGCACUCUAACGCCUUGACAAUAGAGGCAUGUUCAGAUAUUUGUGAGUAUCUUGGCCGCUCCAAUAUAUAUAAUGGCGACUACAUAUUACCAAAGAGCAAAUUUUGUAGCCACAGUAAAGUUACUGCCAUCUUUCGACAUAUGAUUAAAACUUUUGGAACGCACGAAUAAAAAGUGGCAACAUCAUACCAAGCAUCGGCUAAAGGUUGUGGCGCCAUCGCUCGAAACGAUACCGCCAUGCAUUUGGCUUUUGAUCUAUUAGAUUUAUUCAUUAACAAAUUUAACAUAUAUCAGUGAAAGAAUAAUGAUCAAAGUCAAAUGGCGUUCUAAAAGUUUUAAUCAUGUGUCGGAAAAUGGCAGUAAUUUAUCGUGGUUACAAAGUUUUUUUUUUAGAAUCCACCUCUAUUUCAAAUUAUCUUUGAUACCCAUACAUUAACCCUUUGAAUGCUUUAUGUCAUAAACACAACAUCAGUCAAACACCAAAAUCCCGGGCGCAAGGGGGCCAAUGUAAACCUUAGGUAUUCGAAAGUGUGAAGGUUACUUCGACAGCGUCUGCCAGAACAGCUAUAGGUGUCCUUGGCCCUGUGGGUACGACAAGUAACGACGAUUGUAGGUAUUUUUGGCGUUCAGAAUGUUAAUCUGUACUGCAUAUCUCGUUUUCGCUCAUCCUAACCUAUCACCCAUCCUGCGUCCAUAGACGGUAGAGAAAGGACGAAAAUCUCUUAUGACAGAACUAUUGCAAAAGUAACCAGCUUUCAGCUUUAACCUUUUGAACGCCAAGAGCCACUAAAGUGGUCGUGUGCUGUCGUGCCUACCACGCCAACGACCACUAAAGAGGUCAUGGCAGACGCUGUCAAAGCAAUUUUACUGUUGACAGAUAAGGUUUAAAUUCGUUUCUCAAUAGUUGACAUAUUGGCGUGUAUGCCACAUUUUGAUGAGAGGGAGAAAGCGUUGAAAAGGUUAACCCUUUGCCAGGCUAAGGAAUAUUAUUUCACACAUGCGGCUCUUCAAACAUGUGUUCUAUUUUCGAUGAGUAAGACUGACAUUCGAUUGUCAUUUUUGAACUGUCAGCCUGGUAAAGGGUUAAAUAAUAGUUCCUAAUCUCUCCGGUGGCGCUAGGUAGGCUCAUGGAUAUUACAUGAAUCAUAUACGUAUAAUAAUAUAGAGAUGAAAUGGGGAGGGGCAGCAAAUAACCCGACCAAAUUACGACGAGCCUACCUAGCGCCACUGGAGAGAUUAUUAGGAACUAUAAUUUAACCUUUUGUACCUAACCCUUACUUGAAAAAAAGUCUACUUUGACAGCGUACGUCAUGACACCUAUAGUUGCCUUGGCGCUGUGGACUAGAUAACGACGCUUUUAUUUUAUUUUCUUGGCGUUCAAAGGGUUAAAGCUGAAAGCUGGUCACUUUUGCAAUAGUUCUGCCAUAAGAGAUUGUCGUCCUUUCUGUACCGUCCAUACUUUAGAUUGACCUAUGUUAGCCCAAUUUGACAUUGCAAAUGUCAAGCAGAAUUAGCUUUAUCCGACACGACAGUGUGUACACCAACCAUACAAAUGGCGACAGCACACGAAAACUGAUUGCAUUCACACUGCGACAGAGUUAAGCGCCACCAUAGCGUUAUAUUCCUAUAAAAAUGUGGUGUUUACCUAGUGGCGCUAGCACACUUUGGAGGGGAAGGACAUUAUUGUAAUAUUUAUAACACAAACGUUAUGAUUUUUUUCUAAUGUCAAGCAAAUGUUAGUCCAAUUUAUAUACGUUAAAUAAAGUAUCUGAAUGAUA
Molecule: long non-coding RNA, 7842 nt
Organism: Cydia pomonella (codling moth)
Lineage: Eukaryota; Metazoa; Arthropoda; Insecta; Lepidoptera; Tortricidae
Exons: 2
Source: RefSeq, a predicted model, not a curated record